CAUUCGGCUGGGAUCUUUUGGCCAGGAUGCAGUGGCCCAGAUUCCGCGGCUCCAGCGCCCAUUUUCCAACUGUUUCCACAUCCUCAACGACGAACGCGGUUGUAAACAAAGGCCGUGGUGUUGGUUUUACGAGUUGAUGAUGGCUGGUGAUGAUGAUGCUCGGCUCUGUGACUCAAGGAGCUGUCAUCGCAAUAAAACGCGGGCAGCGGCACGUGAAAUUCGAUUGGUGUACUUAUCCUGCGCCUCUUCCUUCUCCUCCUCCUCAAGUUGACAUAAAUGGACAAAUUGAGCUUUUAAAUUUGUCCCAGGAUGGACUAGCACGGCAACAGUAAAAGAAGGGAGCCGAGUCUGCGGAGGACCACCGUUCAGGACGAUAGCCAGUCAAAUAGAUACAAAUUGUUUUGCAAACAAAAUUGAUUACCCGCACCAGCAAGAGCGGGGUUCAAAAUAUUUAUUGGAUUAACAUAAACUGAAUGCCUGGAUUUAUGACUUCGGAAUCGGAUUCCACUCUGAAUUUUGUCGCAUCUGGCCUUGUUCAUUAUUUCAGUCAGUCCAAUCGAAUUCGCUGGAUACUGUAUAUUUUAAGGUUUUUAAUUGUGAAUGUUAUAAAACUAUUCCAAUAAAUCACAGCA
Molecule: long non-coding RNA, 632 nt
Filed under: Drosophila melanogaster (fruit fly)
Lineage: Eukaryota; Metazoa; Arthropoda; Insecta; Diptera; Drosophilidae
Description: long non-coding RNA:CR42721 (Dmel_CR42721)
Source: RNAcentral